GCAUAUCAAAAAGCGGAGGAAAAGAAACCAACAGGGAUUGCCUCAGUAACGGCGAGUGAAGCGGCAAAAGCUCAAAUUUGAAAUCUAGCACCUUCGGUGUUCGAGUUGUAAUUUGAAGAUGGUAACCUUGGGUUUGGCUCUUGUCUAUGUUCCUUGGAACAGGACGUCAUAGAGGGUGAGAAUCCCGUCUGAUGAGAUGCCCAUUCCUAUGUAAGGUGCUAUCGAAGAGUCGAGUUGUUUGGGAAUGCAGCUCUAAGUGGGUGGUAAAUUCCAUCUAAAGCUAAAUAUUGGCGAGAGACCGAUAGCGAACAAGUACAGUGAUGGAAAGAUGAAAAGAACUUUGAAAAGAGAGUGAAAAAGUACGUGAAAUUGUUGAAAGGGAAGGGCAUUAGAUCAGACUUGGUGUUUUACGAUUAUCUUCUCUUCUUGAGUUGUGCACUCGUAUUUCACUGGGCCAGCAUCGAUUCGGAUGGCAAGAUAAUGGCAGUUGAAUGUGGCUUCACUUCGGUGGAGUGUUAUAGCUUCUGCUGAUAUUGCCUGUCUGGAUCGAGGGCUGCGUCUUUUGACUAGGAUGCUGGCGUAAUGAUCUAAUGCCGCCCGUCUUGAACCACGGACCA
Molecule: ribosomal RNA, 617 nt
Filed under: Hansenula anomala
Lineage: Eukaryota; Fungi; Ascomycota; Saccharomycetes; Phaffomycetales; Wickerhamomycetaceae
Description: Wickerhamomyces anomalus partial large subunit ribosomal RNA
Rfam family: Eukaryotic large subunit ribosomal RNA
Source: RNAcentral